This 348-nucleotide ribosomal RNA is filed under the name uncultured bacterium. Its description in RNAcentral is "bacterial SSU rRNA". It matches the Rfam family "Bacterial small subunit ribosomal RNA", at positions 335 to 678 of the family's 1533-position model. The record is from RNAcentral.
ACUCCUACGGGAGGCAGCAGUGGGGAAUAUUGCACAAUGGGGGAAACCCUGAUGCAGCCAUGCCGCGUGUGUGAAGAAGGCCUUCGGUUGUAAAGCACUUUCAGUAGGAGGAAGGUAGUGUAGUUAACACCUGCAUUAUUUGACGUUACCUACAGAAGAAGCACCGGCUAACUCCGUGCCAGCAGCCGCGGUAAUACGGAGGGUGCGAGCGUUAAUCGGAAUUACUGGGCGUAAAGCGCAUGCAGGCGGCCUGUUAAGUCAGAUGUGAAAGCCCGGGGCUUAACCUCGGAAUUGCAUUUGAAACUGGCAGGCUAGAGUCUUGUAGAGGGGUUAGAAUUUCAGGUGUAG